AGUAUUAUUUUAAUAAAAUAACAGUUUCACUCAUUCUCCUUCUAAGAAUACAUAUACUACCUCUUUCAGGCUUCAUGGACCUUUUAACUAGUCAACAAGAAACCCACAUCGUUCAUCCCAGUCCUUAUGACAGUGUUUCACCAAGUUUUAAGUAUUAAACUUGGUGAAUCAGAAGUUCCUCUCUUUAGCACCCAAUGGUCUGAUGCUCUAAGUCAAGGUGAAAACUCAAUUGGUAACCGAAAACAAAAAAAGAGGACCAACUGGACACCGAAAGAAGAUAUGGUGCUAAUCUAUUCGUGGCUAAACACAAUAAAGGAUUCCAUAGUUGGGAAUGAGCAAAAAGCAGAUGCAUUCUGGAAACGUAUUGCGGCCUAUUCUGCAUCAAGUCCGAAGGUUGCUUGUUUGAAAAAGAGGGAGCCAAGUCACGGUAAGCAAAGGUGGGGAAAGAUUAAUGACAUUGUUUGCAAGUUUGUCGGAUGCCAUGAGGCUGCAACAACUCAUAUGUCUAGUGGGCAGAAUAAUAAUGAUGUGAUGAAGCUAGCAUGUAAAUAUACGCAAAUGAUUACAAGAAGAAAUUCAGUUUGGAGCAUGCUUGGAAAGAGUUAAGACAUGAUUAGAAGUGGUGUGUAUCUACACAAACUACUAAAGAGACUAGAAUGGCAAAAAGAACAAAGUGUGAGGAGGGUUGUGCACAUUCUUCAAGCUCAAACCCACUAAGCCAUGGAGAGGAUGUAGCACAAGCUUGUCAUCUUGGUGUGAAGGCUUCAAACGCCAAAGGUCUCCAGUAAAAGCUAAAGGAAACAAGAAGAUUGCAAGUUGAAGAAGAGGACAAAAAGAUGGCAAGUUGAAGAAGAGGACAGGUUCACAUGGUUCAUUUUCGGACCACAAAUAUUUUGCAUAUCAUACCACAAACAUUGGACCACACAUAUUUUCCGUUGCUAUAUAAGUCACAAUGUAUGACACUUAAAUUACGACAUUCUUCUUUUGCUA
RNA transcript from Arabidopsis lyrata subsp. lyrata, 990 nucleotides. It is a transcript of the gene named glutathione S-transferase T3-like, with no coding region annotated. The record is from RefSeq and is a predicted model, not a curated record. NCBI's taxonomy places the organism in Eukaryota, Viridiplantae, Streptophyta, Magnoliopsida, Brassicales, Brassicaceae. The transcript has 2 exons.